RNAcentral lists this ribosomal RNA (115 nucleotides) under Gammaproteobacteria bacterium. Lineage: Bacteria; Pseudomonadati; Pseudomonadota; Gammaproteobacteria. The record is from RNAcentral. RNAcentral also lists the same sequence under 2 other names.
CUUGGCGACGAUAGCGAGCUGGAACCACCCGAUCCCAUCCCGAACUCGGUCGUGAAACGGCUCUGCGCCGAUGAUAGUGUGGGAGUUCCCAUGCGAAAGUAGGUCAUUGCCAAGC